CCCCUAGAUGUUCUGGGCCGCACGCGCGCUACACUGACCAGUGCAACAAGCAUCCGUCCUUGGCCGACAGGCUCGGGCAAUCUUUGAACGCUGGUCGUGAUGGGGAUAGACUUUUGCAAUUUUUGGUCUUCAACGAGGAAUUCCUAGUAAACGCAAGUCAUCAACUUGCAUUGAUUACGUCCCUGCCCUUUGUACACACCGCCCGUCGCACCUACCGAUUGAAUGGUCCGGUGAAGCCUCCGGAUUGGCGCGCACCUCGGUGCCGCCGAGAAGUUGGCUAAACCUUACCAUUUAGAGGAAGGUGAANUCGUAACA
Molecule: ribosomal RNA, 315 nt
Filed under: uncultured eukaryote
Lineage: Eukaryota
Description: partial 18S ribosomal RNA
Rfam family: Eukaryotic small subunit ribosomal RNA
Source: RNAcentral